UAAUACACACAAAAUAGCUUAAUAAUACAUUGAAAUGAUAUAAUGUCUGGAACUCUUUUAAAGAUGCUGUAUGUACAUUUUUGACUCUACUAAAGCAUAAAAAUACCAUAAUAUGUUUGCAAAUUUUUAAGAAACAUGCUAAGUUAACAUACUUGUAACAUACGUUCCUGUUGGUGUCAACAAUCAAAAUGGCAACCUGUCUGUAUGUCAAGUUUGAGGAGGAGGGGCCGGGUGAAAAAAACCCUCUCCAAUAUUUUUAAUUUGUACUGCAAUAGCAAGUUCAACCACUUGGUGUCAAUCCUACAUACAGCACCUUUAAACAUUUUUUCCCAAUUCUAUUAUAAUUAUUGUGCUAUUAUAAAUGCUUCGCUGUACCGGUCCUAAGGCCUGGGGGCGAGGGCCUAAUUAGGCCUAAGCAAGGAGGAGGGUGGUCAUCCUGCCGAGGUGACCAGAACUGGAUAACCAGGGAAAUUAUGCAAGAAACUGAUGGACCCACAACAAAUCGCAAAUGGCAACAAUGCUACUGCAUACGAGGAAGAUUGUUUACACCGAAAACAAAAAUUCACCUCACUCCUUGGAAUGUUCAGACCAGCCAUGUGGGUCAAAAGGAGAUCAUUGCCAAAUAGCUGCUGACAUGCAAGAUCUCGAUCGCGGCAUUAUCUGAACUUCGGCUUAUCGGAUCCAGAACAACAACUGUCUACGAACCCAGUUCAAAUGAAAAAGAUAUGCUGUUUUACUCUAGAGGGGAGAAACGAGAAGCUGCAAAGACGACUUCUACGACCAAUUACAAUUAGAGCCCGACCGAUAUAUCGGCCGGCCGAUAUUAUCAGCCGAUAUGAGCUUAUUGUAUUUAAAUCGGCAUCGGCGUUUAUAACGGCCGAUGAAUGAUGAGAAACAGUCUCAUGCUUUACUCAUGUUAUGAGUGUUGCAUAGUUUACCCACCAGAGGGAGCUCUGCAGCUCCAGAGUUGACAACAGCGCCAGAAAUCCACUAGCGAAGAAAGCGAUCAGCCAAGCCAGCCACGGAGAUUUUUUUUUCUGUUUUGACGAUGGCUGAAAAAGGGCAUGCUGUAGCAGCAAAGUGUGGGACUACUUCUGCAAAUACUUUAACUUUAGUAUUAUAAUUUAUUUACAGAACACACACAGACUGUUAAAACCAGCUUCAACUGGAAGAAAGUAAAAGUGUUAAAUGUUUAAAAUCAGGCUGUUUUUUUUAUCAUUAAAAAAUAUAUACUUUUGAUGU
Molecule: long non-coding RNA, 1242 nt
Organism: Carassius gibelio (silver crucian carp)
Lineage: Eukaryota; Metazoa; Chordata; Actinopteri; Cypriniformes; Cyprinidae
Exons: 2
Source: RefSeq, a predicted model, not a curated record